Molecule: long non-coding RNA, 203 nt
Filed under: Elaeis guineensis (African oil palm)
Lineage: Eukaryota; Viridiplantae; Streptophyta; Magnoliopsida; Arecales; Arecaceae
Description: long non-coding RNA (EGUI_LNC049856)
Source: RNAcentral
UGUUAACCACUCUUCUCAUACAUGAAAUUGAUUCUUGCAUGAAUUUCUUUCAUGCCCAGAAGUACUUUGUCACCUCUUCUCUGGUUCCAUUUGGAUGAGGAUAAAUUUGGUUAAUCAUUUGAAUUCAAAGGGUUUGAAUUUGAUUUGAAAACAACCUAAAACUUAUCCUUAUCCUUACCUUGGUGCCACCACCUUUGAAAGGC